RNAcentral lists this unclassified non-coding RNA (253 nucleotides) under uncultured Pirellulaceae bacterium. Its description in RNAcentral is "contains 16S-23S intergenic spacer region". It matches the Rfam family "Bacterial small subunit ribosomal RNA", at positions 524 to 776 of the family's 1533-position model. Lineage: Bacteria; Pseudomonadati; Planctomycetota; Planctomycetia; Pirellulales; Pirellulaceae. The record is from RNAcentral.
UACGAACCGUCCAAACGUUAUUCGGAAUUACUGGGCUUAAAGGGUACGUAGGCGGCGCUGUUAGUCGGGUGUGAAAGCCCUCGGCUCAACCGAGGAAUUGCGCCCGAUACUGCAGUGCUCGAGGGAGACAGAGGUAAGCGGAACUGAUGGUGGAGCGGUGAAAUGCGUUGAUAUCAUCAGGAACACCAGUGGCGAAAGCAGCUUACUGGGUCUCUUCUGACGCUGAGGUACGAAAGCUAGGGGAGCGAAGGGG